UAGUUUAUAAAAAAUAAUAAUUUGUCAAGUUAUAGAAAAGAAUAUUCC
RNAcentral lists this transfer RNA (48 nucleotides) under Araneus angulatus. RNAcentral's name for it is "tRNA-Asp". The record is from RNAcentral. Lineage: Eukaryota; Metazoa; Arthropoda; Arachnida; Araneae; Araneidae.